AUUGAACGCUGGCGGCAUGCCUUACACAUGCAAGUCGAACGGCAGCACGGGAGCAAUCCUGGUGGCGAGUGGCGAACGGGUGAGUAAUAUAUCGGAACGUGCCCGGUCGUGGGGGAUAACGUAGCGAAAGCUACGCUAAUACCGCAUACGAUCUACGGAUGAAAGCGGGGGAUCGCAAGACCUCGCGCGAUUGGAGCGGCCGAUAUCAGAUUAGGUAGUUGGUGAGGUAAAGGCUCACCAAGCCGACGAUCUGUAGCUGGUCUGAGAGGACGACCAGCCACACUGGGACUGAGACACGGCCCAGACUCCUACGGGAGGCAGCAGUGGGGAAUUUUGGACAAUGGGCGCAAGCCUGAUCCAGCAAUGCCGCGUGCAGGAUGAAGGCCUUGGUGUAAACUGCUUUGUACGGUAACGAAACGGUA
Molecule: ribosomal RNA, 422 nt
Filed under: uncultured bacterium
Lineage: Bacteria
Description: bacterial SSU rRNA
Rfam family: Bacterial small subunit ribosomal RNA
Source: RNAcentral